UGGGGAAUAUUGGACAAUGGGCGAAAGCCUGAUCCAGCCAUGCCGCGUGUGUGAAGAAGGUCUUCGGAUUGUAAAGCACUUUAAGUUGGGAGGAAGGGCAGUAAGUUAAUACCUUGCUGUUUUGACGUUACCGACAGAAUAAGC
RNAcentral lists this ribosomal RNA (144 nucleotides) under uncultured Rhodopseudomonas sp. Its description in RNAcentral is "partial 16S rRNA". It matches the Rfam family "Bacterial small subunit ribosomal RNA", at positions 355 to 491 of the family's 1533-position model. The record is from RNAcentral. Lineage: Bacteria; Pseudomonadati; Pseudomonadota; Alphaproteobacteria; Hyphomicrobiales; Nitrobacteraceae.